This 63-nucleotide transfer RNA is filed under the name Cemus sauteri. RNAcentral's name for it is "tRNA-Trp". The record is from RNAcentral. Lineage: Eukaryota; Metazoa; Arthropoda; Insecta; Hemiptera; Delphacidae.
AAGGUUUUAAGUUAAUUAAACUACCAACCUUCAAAGUUGGAAAUAUUCCAAAUUUAAGCCUUA